This 460-nucleotide ribosomal RNA is filed under the name uncultured bacterium. RNAcentral describes it as "partial 16S ribosomal RNA". It matches the Rfam family "Bacterial small subunit ribosomal RNA", at positions 338 to 795 of the family's 1533-position model. The record is from RNAcentral.
CCUACGGGAGGCUGCAGUGAGGAAUAUUGGUCAAUGGACGAGAGUCUGAACCAGCCAAGUAGCGUGAAGGAUGACUGCCCUAUGGGUUGUAAACUUCUUUUAUAUGGGAAUAAAAUGUUCCACGUGUGGGAUUUUGUAUAUACCAUAUGAAUAAGGAUCGGCUAACUCCGUGCCAGCAGCCGCGGUAAUACGGAGGAUCCGAGCGUUAUCCGGAUUUAUUGGGUUUAAAGGGAGCGUAGGUGGAUUGUUAAGUCAGUUGUGAAAGUUUGCGGCUCAACCGUAAAAUUGCAGUUGAAACUGGCAGUCUUGAGUACAGUAGAGGUGGGCGGAAUUCGUGGUGUAGCGGUGAAAUGCUUAGAUAUCACGAAGAACUCCGAUUGCGAAGGCAGUUCACUGGACUGCAACUGACACUGAGGCUCGAAAGUGUGGGUAUCAAACAGGAUUAGAUACCCGAGUAGUC